RNAcentral lists this long non-coding RNA (2302 nucleotides) under Homo sapiens (human). Its description in RNAcentral is "SUCLG2 divergent transcript (SUCLG2-DT)". The record is from RNAcentral. Lineage: Eukaryota; Metazoa; Chordata; Mammalia; Primates; Hominidae.
AAGGAGGAGGAGGCAGAGGCGGUCUGGGCCGGGCCGGGCCUGACCCCUGCGUCCCGGGGGCACAGGCGUUCUUAAGGCUGCAGAGCCCUGGGUCCCCCACCCGGCCCCGGUUCACUUUGAGCGGUCCCAAGGCCUGAGGGCCUACUGUCCAGUCCCCAGGUUAUCGUCCUGAGCAAAGACAGACCCCGAGCCCUGCGGUCUUGGGGCUCAAACAGUCCCUGGAUGGCCAAACAAGCAAAUAUUCGCCAUGGCAGUGGGUGCUGGAAGGGUGGCUCACGGAGCUGACGCCCUCCGCAGAGAACCGUGGUCUAGUCCUGCGGUCACGAGGCCUAUCUGGGACAGUGGUGUUUGAGCUGAGACUUUAACGAAUAGAGACAGGUGAGGUUCCUGCAGCCCAGGGCUUCAGCGUGAACAACCCCAGAAGGAAAAAGAGUGCUGUUGUUAAAGGUAUCUGGCAUCAUGGACCCAACCAUCACCAGGAGUUUCUCACUUCAUCUCUGCUUUAUUGUAGUAUAAUUUGCAUACAAUAAUGGCACACAUUUAAUGUGCACAGUGUGAUAAAUUUUGACAUAUGUAUACAUCCAUGAAGCCGGCACCACAAUCAAGAUAAUGAACAUCUCGCUUACCCCAGAAGUUUCCUGUGCCCUGUCACUCCUCCGUAUUCCUCCAUCCUCAGUGAUAUUUCCCAAAACAUGUUCUCCAAGCUGUUAAUAUUCUAUGUAAAUGAAAGAAAAAGGAAGAAAGAAAAAGAAAGGAAGAAAAGAAGGAGGAAGAAAAAGAAGGGAGGGAGAAAAAAGGAAAGAAAAAGAAAAGACAAACUCGUGAGUUUGGAAAGCACUUUCAUUACAGAAAGAUUUAUCUGACUAUUAUGUUAAUAUCCAUGUGACAGUAAUAAAGAAAUCAUCUAUUGGAGAUAAAUAUAGAAUAGUUUCAAAACUUGCUUUCUCUAAAUCAGAGUGUCUGGGUUUAAGUGACCUUUCCCAAUGUUCUAUGUUCUUUGUCAAAUGACUUCGUCUCUCUGAUUUUAGUUCCCUGAUCUGCAAAAUAAGAUAAUGAUUAUGACCUCUGAAAUGGCCUGCAAUUAUCCUCUCACACUGUGUUCACACACUUGGUAGUCUCUUCCCCCAUGAGAAAGGACCGACUUUUAUAGCCCAUAGGAUGUUGCAGAGUUGUAUUCAAAGCUGAGUCAUGAAAGACACUGUAUCUCUUCCUUGCUCUCUCUUGGAUAACUUGUUCUGGAGGAAGCCAACUGCCAUGUCAUGAGGAUCCUCAAAGAGCCCAUUAGAAUGCCUACGUAGAGAAAAAGCCUUCAACUAAUAACCAGCACCAACAUGGCAGCCAUGUGAGCAAGCCAACUGGGAAGUGCACCCUGAGGACAUAAUCAAGCUCUCAGAGUACUUCAGCUAAGGCUGAUGACUUGACUGCAACUAACUGAGACAUGUUGAGCCUGAACUCCCAGUCAAGAUGCUACCAAACUCUUGGCCCAUAGAAAAGCAUGAGCCCAUAGAGAAGCCAUCCACUUUACCAGGCAUGAGUGGAAGAAACAGCAACGAAUCCUAAUACUUGCAGGAAAACUGAGUGUGUUGGAGUUUUUUAAAGAAAAAAUUCUCAGAGUUCCACAGUUGCAUUGAAAACUAAUAGACCACAGGCCGGGCACAGUGGCUCACGCGUGUAAUCCCAGCACUUUGGGAGGCCGAGGUGAGUGGAUCACAAGAGAUGAAGUCUUGCUCUGUCACCAGGCUGGAGUGCAGUGGUGUGAUCUCGGCUCAAUGCAACCUCCGCCUCCCAGGUUCAAGUGAUUCCCCUGCCUCAGUGUCCUGUGUAGCUGGGACUACAGGAGUGUGCCACCACACCCAACUAUUUUUUUUAUUGUAUUUUAGUAGAGACAGGGUUUCACCAUGUUGGCCAGAAUGGUCUCAAUCUCCUGACCUCGUGAUCCACCCACCUUGGCCUCUCAAAAUGCUGGGAUUACAGGCAUGAGCCACUGUGCCUGGCUGUGUAAUCUUAUGGGUGAAUAGCGACUGAUAUGAACAGAAUAUCUUUGAAAUUUGUAAGCCAAACUUGCAACUUUGAGGGAGAUAAAGAAACAAUUUACCAAACAAUAUGGAAAACACUGAAAUCCCCAAAGAAAGGGAAAAUUAAAUGUGGCUUUUACUAGGAAUUUACCAUAUUAACAUCCUACCUGGCACAUGAUAAGUGCCCAAUGAAUGAUAACCAAAAGAAAAAAACCAUAAUGUUAAGUGUGGUUACUGGCUCUAUUUUACAAAUAAAGAUGUUGAAACUCAAAAAAAAAAAAAAAAAA